Molecule: ribosomal RNA, 2930 nt
Filed under: Bacillus cereus
Lineage: Bacteria; Bacillati; Bacillota; Bacilli; Caryophanales; Bacillaceae
Description: 23S ribosomal RNA
Rfam family: Bacterial large subunit ribosomal RNA
Source: RNAcentral
UUUGGUUAAGUUAGAAAGGGCGCACGGUGGAUGCCUUGACACUAGGAGUCGAUGAAGGACGGGACUAACGCCGAUAUGCUUCGGGGAGCUGUAAGUAAGCUUUGAUCCGAAGAUUUCCGAAUGGGGAAACCCACCAUACGUAAUGGUAUGGUAUCCUUAUCUGAAUACAUAGGGUAAGGAAGACAGACCCAGGGAACUGAAACAUCUAAGUACCUGGAGGAAGAGAAAGCAAAUGCGAUUUCCUGAGUAGCGGCGAGCGAAACGGAACAUAGCCCAAACCAAGAGGCUUGCCUCUUGGGGUUGUAGGACAUUCUAUACGGAGUUACAAAGGAACGAGGUAGACGAAGCGACCUGGAAAGGUCCGUCGUAGAGGGUAACAACCCCGUAGUCGAAACUUCGUUCUCUCUUGAAUGUAUCCUGAGUACGGCGGAAUACGUGAAAUUCCGUCGGAAUCUGGGAGGACCAUCUCCCAAGGCUAAAUACUCCCUAGUGAUCGAUAGUGAACCAGUACCGUGAGGGAAAGGUGAAAAGCACCCCGGAAGGGGAGUGAAAGAGAUCCUGAAACCGUGUGCCUACAAAUAGUCAGAGCCCGUUAACGGGUGAUGGCGUGCCUUUUGUAGAAUGAACCGGCGAGUUACGAUCCCGUGCGAGGUUAAGCUGAAGAGGCGGAGCCGCAGCGAAAGCGAGUCUGAAUAGGGCGUUUAGUACGUAGUCGUAGACCCGAAACCAGGUGAUCUACCCAUGUCCAGGGUGAAGUUCAGGUAACACUGAAUGGAGGCCCGAACCCACGCACGUUGAAAAGUGCGGGGAUGAGGUGUGGGUAGCGGAGAAAUUCCAAUCGAACCUGGAGAUAGCUGGUUCUCCCCGAAAUAGCUUUAGGGCUAGCCUUAAGUGUAAGAGUCUUGGAGGUAGAGCACUGAUUGGACUAGGGGUCCUCAUCGGAUUACCGAAUUCAGUCAAACUCCGAAUGCCAAUGACUUAUCCUUAGGAGUCAGACUGCGAGUGAUAAGAUCCGUAGUCAAAAGGGAAACAGCCCAGACCGCCAGCUAAGGUCCCAAAGUGUGUAUUAAGUGGAAAAGGAUGUGGAGUUGCUUAGACAACUAGGAUGUUGGCUUAGAAGCAGCCACCAUUUAAAGAGUGCGUAAUAGCUCACUAGUCGAGUGACUCUGCGCCGAAAAUGUACCGGGGCUAAAUACACCACCGAAGCUGCGGAUUGAUACCGAAUGGUAUCAGUGGUAGGGGAGCGUUCUAAGGACAGUGAAGUCAGACCGGAAGGACUGGUGGAGUGCUUAGAAGUGAGAAUGCCGGUAUGAGUAGCGAAAGACGGGUGAGAAUCCCGUCCACCGAAUGCCUAAGGUUUCCUGAGGAAGGCUCGUCCGCUCAGGGUUAGUCAGGACCUAAGCCGAGGCCGACAGGCGUAGGCGAUGGACAACAGGUUGAUAUUCCUGUACCACCUCUUUAUCGUUUGAGCAAUGGAGGGACGCAGAAGGAUAGAAGAAGCGUGCGAUUGGUUGUGCACGUCCAAGCAGUUAGGCUGAUAAGUAGGCAAAUCCGCUUAUCGUAAAGGCUGAGCUGUGAUGGGGAAGCUCCUUAUGGAGCGAAGUCUUUGAUUCCCCGCUGCCAAGAAAAGCUUCUAGCGAGAUAAAAGGUGCCUGUACCGCAAACCGACACAGGUAGGCGAGGAGAGAAUCCUAAGGUGUGCGAGAGAACUCUGGUUAAGGAACUCGGCAAAAUGACCCCGUAACUUCGGGAGAAGGGGUGCUUUCUUAACGGAAAGCCGCAGUGAAUAGGCCCAAGCGACUGUUUAGCAAAAACACAGCUCUCUGCGAAGCCGUAAGGCGAAGUAUAGGGGGUGACACCUGCCCGGUGCUGGAAGGUUAAGGAGAGGGGUUAGCGUAAGCGAAGCUCUGAACUGAAGCCCCAGUAAACGGCGGCCGUAACUAUAACGGUCCUAAGGUAGCGAAAUUCCUUGUCGGGUAAGUUCCGACCCGCACGAAAGGUGUAACGAUUUGGGCACUGUCUCAACCAGAGACUCGGUGAAAUUAUAGUACCUGUGAAGAUGCAGGUUACCCGCGACAGGACGGAAAGACCCCGUGGAGCUUUACUGUAGCCUGAUAUUGAAUUUUGGUACAGUUUGUACAGGAUAGGCGGGAGCCAUUGAAACCGGAGCGCUAGCUUCGGUGGAGGCGCUGGUGGGAUACCGCCCUGACUGUAUUGAAAUUCUAACCUACGGGUCUUAUCGACCCGGGAGACAGUGUCAGGUGGGCAGUUUGACUGGGGCGGUCGCCUCCUAAAGUGUAACGGAGGCGCCCAAAGGUUCCCUCAGAAUGGUUGGAAAUCAUUCGUAGAGUGCAAAGGCAUAAGGGAGCUUGACUGCGAGACCUACAAGUCGAGCAGGGACGAAAGUCGGGCUUAGUGAUCCGGUGGUUCCGCAUGGAAGGGCCAUCGCUCAACGGAUAAAAGCUACCCCGGGGAUAACAGGCUUAUCUCCCCCAAGAGUCCACAUCGACGGGGAGGUUUGGCACCUCGAUGUCGGCUCAUCGCAUCCUGGGGCUGUAGUCGGUCCCAAGGGUUGGGCUGUUCGCCCAUUAAAGCGGUACGCGAGCUGGGUUCAGAACGUCGUGAGACAGUUCGGUCCCUAUCCGUCGUGGGCGUAGGAAAUUUGAGAGGAGCUGUCCUUAGUACGAGAGGACCGGGAUGGACGCACCGCUGGUGUACCAGUUGUUCUGCCAAGGGCAUAGCUGGGUAGCUAUGUGCGGAAGGGAUAAGUGCUGAAAGCAUCUAAGCAUGAAGCCCCCCUCAAGAUGAGAUUUCCCAUAGCGUAAGCUAGUAAGAUCCCUGAAAGAUGAUCAGGUUGAUAGGUUCGAGGUGGAAGCAUGGUGACAUGUGGAGCUGACGAAUACUAAUAGAUCGAGGACUUAACCAUAUAA